UACAGAGGGGGCAAGCGUUGUUCGGAAUUACUGGGCGUAAAGGGCGCGUAGGCGGCCGCCUAAGUCAGACGUGAAAUCCCUCGGCUCAACCGGGGAACUGCGUCUGAUACUGGGUGGCUUGAAUCCGGGAGAGGGAUGCGGAAUUCCAGGUGUAGCGGUGAGAUGCGUAGAUAUCUGGAGGAACACCGGUGGCGAAGGCGGCAUCCUGGACCGGUAUUGACGCUGAGGCGCGAAAGCCAGGGGAGCAAACGGG
RNAcentral lists this ribosomal RNA (253 nucleotides) under uncultured bacterium. RNAcentral describes it as "partial 16S ribosomal RNA". It matches the Rfam family "Bacterial small subunit ribosomal RNA", at positions 524 to 776 of the family's 1533-position model. The record is from RNAcentral.